GCCUGCCUCCCUGGGGGGCGGGGUGGGGGGGGCGAUGCCGUCUCUGCCCCUCCCCAGAAUGGAUCCUAGGUGUGUGAUACGGCCAUCUGAUGGCUGGCGCUUACAGAUGGUGAGGCUGGGGUCGGGAGGGAACACCAGGCUCUGUGGUCACCCAGCCAGGCUUGGAGAUGUUUCUCCUGAGCAGCGGAGGGACUGACCGAGACCCAGCGCAGGCCCCAGCCAAGGGUCCGGGGACGGGACAGGAGGGCCCACGGCCCGCGGACCAGACAGCUAGCAUGGCCGGAGCCAGCGGUGGGGGGGAGGAGCGCAGAGCUUUACAGAUGUUCACACCAGCUUGGCAGGGCACACGGCCUGGCUGGGCGCGCGCCAGCUGGGCAGCCCCUGGCAGGCCGGCGUGGGGCUCCAGCCUGCGUUCCUGCUGAGUCAGAGCGUGGAGCAGAGCACGGAGCCAGCAGCACGCACUCCGGCCGCACCCCCCUCCCUCCCCGGCACCCAGGGGCCACCCCAGACACUGCAAGUCGCCCCGGAAGCAGGCCAGGCCCCCGCCCCACACACCAGGCCCUCCGGAGCCCGGCACACAGGGGCACCUCCACACACGGUGGGCGUGGAAGGGGGCGACCCCGGACACUGCAGCCAUCCCCCGCCUCUGUGCUGCAGAUGGCUCACAGUGGCGCCUGGAGGGCCCUCCCCCUCCUGCGUCCUCCCUGCCGGAAGGAACUGCAGCGAGCUCCUCCAGGCCGAGAACCAUUCCACCCCUGGGGAAGCUCUGCCACCAGCAGGAGCGGCGGGGGAGGAGAGCCAGCAACCGCGCCCGCUGCCCUGCCACCGUCCUGUCCCUCCUGCCUGAGUCCUUUCUGCCUGCCAAGAGCUAAGAGCUCCCCAUUUUACAGACGGAGAAACUGAGGCUCCGAGACCGCCCAGGGACGCCCAGGCUCGCAUGUCUGAGCUGCCAUCAGUUCCGCAGAACCGGUCAGGCCGGGCUUCCUGGUCCUCACGUGCCCUCUGGGCCCACCUCGUGGGGCUGCAGCCAGACCUGGACGGCAGAUCCAGAGGAUCUAAGUGUUGGCGACCAGAGCAGCAGCCCAGGCUCAGAAGAGGCCACGCCUGGGGUCCAUACUCUGCCAUCACCAUUGCUGAAGAUGAUCUCCUGAGCACACCUCCUCCAGGAAGCCCACCCGGCAGCAGCCCAGCACUUUGAUCAGGCUUCCCGACCCGUGGCUGGGACUCAGUGCAUCCCUGGCACCUACCAGGGCCCAGCAUACAGAAGAGAUUUUUCACCAGACCUGGAUUUCUGAAGAACUUGGAAACAGGAAAACGUGCACAUUUCUGUGGGAAGCCCCCAGGUCCCUUGGGCAGCUGUCUCCGUGCAUGGGUGCU
Molecule: long non-coding RNA, 1377 nt
Organism: Bos taurus (domestic cattle)
Lineage: Eukaryota; Metazoa; Chordata; Mammalia; Artiodactyla; Bovidae
Source: Ensembl